AGGCCCGAAGCUGGGCUGGAGUCUAUCCCUUUGCCCGGACUGGACUUCAGUGUUGUGGUACAAGAAUUUAUCACCCUGUAGUGUGAUUUAAGUCACACCUUGGCAGGAGUUACUUGGUGGCGUUAUUUUCUAGGAGCUGCCUGGCUCAGCCAUGCCUAACUGCCCCAGUUGCCCCGGGCAGAUCCCCUUGCUUAGGAGCUCUCCGAAGUGACCGGAGGAUCCCGAGGUGGAGCAUGCGGGAGUCGGGUUCGCCGUUCACGCCUGCUGCGGGGCUCGGUGCGCCUUGCAGAGCGGCCGCCUGCAGCUUGCAGCGCACCUGGGCCCGACUACCUGAUCCCGCCUCAGAGAGGGGCCCAGGCCUGGACCAGGGGCCCGAGCGCUGCCCGCCUUGGGAGAGCGUCGGGAGGACGCUGCUAAAUCCCCUUGCCUUCUGCCGCUCUGAGCUGUUGCACCUAUGUACUGAAACCUCUGAACUGUGAGCUAAAUAAACCUCCCCUUUACUUUGGGUGUUGGGUAUUUCGUCUCAGCAAUGAGAGAGGAAUAACUAACACACCACUGAUCUUUUCAGAUGAUAGGGCCCAGCAUUUGAGAGGCUGAGGCAGGAGGAUCACUAGGAAUUUGAGGCCAGCCUCAACUAUACAGAGAUGCUGUCACACACACACACAAAGAUGGUAGAAAAUAGUGAGAGUCUGGGUACCUCCCUGUUAGAACUUAGUUCCUUAAAAGGCUUUGCUCAAAGUUGAUGAGAGAGAAAAGCCAGACAGCCGGGCAUGGUGGCACACUCCUGUAAUCAGGAGGCUGAGGCAGGAGGAUCACUGAGUUCAAGGCCAGCCUAACCUGCAUAGUAAGACCUUGUCUCAAAAAAAAAACGAAAAAAGAAAAACCAGAAACUCCCCUUUGAGCAAGCAGAAACCUAUUAAAUGAAAUAAUAAAGUUUUCUACACAGUGGCAACAAAAGCCAUAAAAUACGUCAGAAUAAACCUCAUCAAGUUACAAAAUCUUUAUGAUGAAGCGUGGCUGAACUGCAGAAUAAGGCCAAGUGAAUGGAAAACAGAAGUUACUUUCUCAGGGAUCGAACUCAGGACCUUGCCCUUUCAAGGCAGGAGGCGACACGGCUGAGCUAAAUCCCUGGCCCCACACAAGCAUUUCAGAGAUUCUUUUUUCUCCCUUCAGUAGCCACUUCCUUCCUCUGGCCAAACAAGGGAUUUUUCUCCAGUCUUCAUGAGGCCCUGGUGGGGAUCUGGAGGUAAAAAUCCAAGCAAAUGUGGCUUCCGCCGAAAUCAAGGUCCCUGGAAAUUUUUGAC
This 1304-nucleotide long non-coding RNA is filed under the name Heterocephalus glaber (naked mole-rat). RNAcentral describes it as "lncRNA (ENSHGLG00000046323.1)". The record is from RNAcentral. Lineage: Eukaryota; Metazoa; Chordata; Mammalia; Rodentia; Bathyergidae.